RNAcentral lists this ribosomal RNA (406 nucleotides) under uncultured bacterium. RNAcentral describes it as "bacterial SSU rRNA". It matches the Rfam family "Bacterial small subunit ribosomal RNA", at positions 355 to 776 of the family's 1533-position model. The record is from RNAcentral.
UGGGGAAUAUUGGGCAAUGGGCGCAAGCCUGACCCAGCAACGCCGCGUGAAGGAAGAAGGCUUUCGGGUUGUAAACUUCUUUUAAGAGGGAAGAGAAGAAGACGGUACCUCUUGAAUAAGCCACGGCUAACUACGUGCCAGCAGCCGCGGUAAUACGUAGGUGGCAAGCGUUGUCCGGAUUUACUGGGUGUAAAGGGCGUGCAGCCGGGCUGACAAGUCAGAUGUGAAAUCCCGCGGCUCAACCGCGGAACUGCAUUUGAAACUGUCAGUCUUGAGUACCGGAGAGGUCAUCGGAAUUCCUUGUGUAGCGGUGAAAUGCGUAGAUAUAAGGAAGAACACCAGUGGCGAAGGCGGAUGACUGGACGGCAACUGACGGUGAGGCGCGAAAGCGUGGGGAGCAAACAGG